RNAcentral lists this ribosomal RNA (273 nucleotides) under uncultured bacterium. RNAcentral's name for it is "partial 16S ribosomal RNA". It matches the Rfam family "Bacterial small subunit ribosomal RNA", at positions 15 to 291 of the family's 1533-position model. The record is from RNAcentral.
GAUCAUGGCUCAGGAUGAACGCUGGCGGCGCGCCUAACACAUGCAAGUCGAACGGCACCUAUCUUCGGAUAGAAGCGAGUGGCGAACGGCUGAGUAACACGUGGAGAACCUGCCCCCUCCCCCGGGAUAGCCGCCCGAAAGGACGGGUAAUACCGGAUACCCCCGGGCGCCGCAUGGCGCCCGGGCUAAAGCCCCGACGGGAGGGGAUGGCUCCGCGGCCCAUCAGGUAGACGGCGGGGUGACGGCCCACCGUGCCGACAACGGGUAGCCGGG